This is a non-coding RNA of Pelobates cultripes (western spadefoot toad), 442 nucleotides long. NCBI's taxonomy places the organism in Eukaryota, Metazoa, Chordata, Amphibia, Anura, Pelobatidae. The record is from the annotation of a GenBank genome assembly.
UGUGUCCCCUGUUGUAUAGUUUAAAACUACUGCACAAUGUCUUUGUGCACCAAAUACCGGCGAGAUGGCACCGUGUAGAAAAGUCCAAACAGUGUCUGUGAGUUAAAAUGCCCGCCAUCCAUUGUUCUCACCAUGUGCUUCAUCCAUUGUUCUCACCAUGUGCCUCUGAUACAUGAAAUGGUGGCCACCCAGUAACUCCACAGUUUGUCUGGUAGUCUAUCCAGCCAGACCAACAGAUGAAACACAUGGGAAACAGUGCAACAAACGAAGGGAAUCAUAAAAAAUAUGGACAAUAGUCAUAUUUGUGCACAAUCUCCAGUUUUGUCACAGGGCACAAAUAGUGUUUUCAAAUGCCAUAUAUCCCAGGGCCAUAGUCAGAAGGUAGGAGGCGGGCAAGCAGCCCCCUCCAAGAACACGUGGUGAGGUCUGUUCCGCCACAACG